AUGUUAAUUUAUAAAAAUUUUUUAUGUUAAUAAAUAUAAUAAUGUAUUUAAUGGAUAUCUAGAUAUAUUUUAAUAAAAGACGUUUAUUAUGACGAAAAGAUUUAUGGUAAAUUUGAUUAAAUUAAUAUAAAUCGUUCUUUUUUUUGAAAAAAAUUUAAUUAAAUUUUAAAAAUUAACGUUGUGAAUUGAAACAUCUUAGUAACAAUAGGAAUAAAAAUCAAUAGAGAUAUAAUUAGUAGUGGUGAGCGAAAAUUAUUGUAAGCUAUUCAAUUAAUUUAAUUUAUUAAAAUAAUUUUAAAUUUAAUUAAUUUUAAUUAAUUAAAUUUAAAAUUAGAAUUCCAUAGAAGGUAAUGAGUCCUGUAAAAUUAAACUUUUAGAGUUUUUUAAAAUUAAUAAUAUAUUAAUAUUAAUAUAUUUAUAAUAUUAAAAUUUAUAAAAACGAAUUAAUUGAAUUAAAAUAAAUUUGAGUAAAGCAAAAUUCAUUUUUUGUUUGAAUAAGGGAGAACCAUCUUCAAAACAAAUAAAUAUUUAAAAUAUAUCAAUAGAGAAUAGUACUGUGAAGGAAAGAUGAAAAAGAACCUUUAUAAUAUAUAUGGAGUGAAAUAGAACUUAAAAUUAAAUACAUAAAAGCGAUUGAAGUAACUUUAAAAUAUGUUAUAACAAUGUACCUUUUGUAUAAUGGGUCAGCGAGUUAAUAUAAUUAGUAAUUUUAAAAUUUUUGAAAGAUUUUAAAAGAUAGCGAAAGCGAGUUUUAAUUAAGCAUUAAUUAAUUAUAUUAUUACCCGAAACCGGAUGAUCUAAACAUGUUUAGAUUAAAUAAAAAAAUUUUAUAAACUUUUAUAUUAAUUUAUUUUAAUUAUAUAAAAAAUAUUUAUAUUUAAUUAUAAUGGAUCGAACUCGUGUAUGUUGCAAAAUACUGGGAUGAAAUGUGUUUAGGGGUGAAAGGCUAAUCAAAUUCGGAUAUAGCUGGUUUUCUACGAAAAUUAUUUACGUAAUGCAUUAAAAUUUAUAACAUAGGGUAAAGCACUUGAUAACUAAAGAAAGGGGUCAUUAAAAACUUCGCUGAUGUUUCUUAAACUUUGAAUAUAUGUUAUAUAAUAAUUUUAAUAGGCAGAUUAUGAGUGCUAAGAUUCAUAAUCAAAAGGGAAAAAGCCCAGAUUUUAAAUUAAGGUUUUUAAAUUAUAAUUUAUGGUUGAAGCUUAAAAUAUAUAAAGACAACCAAGAGGUAGGCUUAGAAGCAGCCAUCCUUUAAAGAAAGCGUUCAUGCUCAAUGGUCGAGUAUUUAUUUAGGCAGAAAUUUGUGAAGCUUUAGUUAUAUACCGAAAUUAAAAAAUUGAUAAAAUUGGUAGUAGAACGAAUAAUAUUAAUUUAUGAGAAAAAUUGUUAAAUUUUUUAUUAAAUUUAUUUUGAGAAUGUUGACAUGAGUAACGAAUAAAUAAUGAGUUAAUUUUUAUUAUCAUUAUCACCGUAAAUCUAAAGGUUUCAACGUUAAGUUAUACUUCGUUGAGUUAAUCGGUCUCUAAAUUUUUUAUUGAUAAAUAAAAAUGAUGAGUAUUUUUUUUUAAUAAUAAAAAAAAUAAAUUAAGAGAAAAUUAAAUUAUUUAAAAGUAAUGUGAUUUUUUAAUAUAUUAAUUAUUUAAUAAUUUAAUUCAAGAAAUAUCUUAAUAAAUAAAAUAUUUUUAUAUUUUAUUUAAACCGUACUUAAACCGACACAGGUGGAUUAGUAGAGGAUACUAAGGUGAUUGGAAGAACAACUUUGAAGGAACUCGGCAAAUUAAUUCCGUAACAUUAGGAUAAGGAAUACUCAUAUUUAUUAUUUAAAUGAUAAAUAAAAAUAAUUAUAAAUAUGAAUGCAGUUUAAUUUAGUUGUAAAUUAAAUUUGUGUCACAGAAUAGGGUGUAGCGACUGUUUAAUAAAAACACAGGACUUUGCUAAAUAGUAAUAUGAUGUAUAAGGUCUGACGUCUGCCCGGUGAUGAAUAAUUAAUAGGAGAGAUAUUUUAUUUUGUUAAAAAUUUAAUUUAAUAAAAUGUUUUGAAUAUAAGUGUCAUUAAACGGCGGCCGUAACUAUAACGGUCCUAAGGUAGCGAAAUUCCUUGUCAAUUAAGUAUUGACCCGCAUGAAUGACGUAACGACUUCACCACUGUCUCCAGAGUUGAUCCAGUGAAUUUGCAAUUUACGUGAAGAUGCGUAAUAUUUACGGCGGGACGGAAAGACCCCGUGCACCUUAACUAUAAUUUUAUAUUGAAAAGGGUAAUUUAGUAUGAAGAAUAAUUAGGAGUUUAUGAUCUAUGUAUUUUUUAUACAUUAGGGAGACAUACGUGCUAUACUAGUUAUUAAAUUAGUAUCUUUUCUAAUUUUUAAGAAAAAAAGUGUAUGAUUGGUAGUUUAGCUGGGGCGGCUUCCUCCAAAAGAGUAACGGAGGAGUACAAAGACAAUUUCAAUUUAAUGUCAAUUAAAUUUGUGAGCGUAAUGGUAUAAAAUUGUUUAACUGUAAGAUUUACAAAUCAAACAGAGAUAAUAGUUCGUCAUAGUGAUCCAGUAACACAGAAUGGAAUGGUUAUCGCUCAACGGAUAAAAGGUACGCCGGGGAUAACAGGCUGAUUGUCCUUGAGAGCCAUAUCGACGGGAUAGUUUGGCACCUCGAUGUCGACUUAUCACAUCCUGGAGUAGUAGGGGAUUCCAAGGGUUCGGCUGUUCGCCGAUUAAAGUGGUACGUGAGCUGGGUUUAGAACGUCGUGAGACAGUUCGGUCCCUAUCUGCCGUAAAUGAUAGAAAAUUGAUAAAAUCUGAUUUUCGUACGAGAGGAGCAAAAAGGAAAAACCUAUUGUGAAUUUGUUGUAUUAUAUUUGAUGCAUAGCAAAGUAGCUACGUUUUAGUAAAUAACUACUGAAAGCAUAUUAAGUAGGAAGUUACUUUUGAAAAAAUUUUCUAA
This 2934-nucleotide ribosomal RNA is filed under the name Vannella simplex. RNAcentral describes it as "bacterial LSU rRNA". It matches the Rfam family "Bacterial large subunit ribosomal RNA". The record is from RNAcentral. Lineage: Eukaryota; Discosea; Flabellinia; Vannellidae.